AUUGAACGCUGGCGGCAUGCCUUACACAUGCAAGUCGAACGGCAGCACGGGUGCUUGCACCUGGUGGCGAGUGGCGAACGGGUGAGUGAUACAUCGGAACGUACCUUAUCGUGGGGGAUAACGCAGCGAAAGUUGCGCUAAUACCGCAUACGCCCUGAGGGGGAAAGCGGGGGACCGUAAGGCCUCGCGCGAUUAGAGCGGCCGAUGUCUGAUUAGCUUGUUGGUGAGGUAAAAGCUCACCAAGGCGAUGAUCAGUAGCUGGGCCGAGAGGACGAUCAGCCACACUGGGCCUGAGACACGGCCCAGACUCCUACGGGAGGCAGCAGUGGGGAAUUUUGGACAAUGGGGGCAACCCUGAUCCAGCAAUGCCGCGUGAGUGAAGAAGGCCUUCGGGUUGUAAAGCUCUUUUGUCAGGGAAGAAACAGCAGCUCUAACACAGUCUGCGAAUGACGGUACCUGAAGAAUAAGCACCGGCUAACUACGUGCCAGCCGCCGCGGUAA
RNAcentral lists this ribosomal RNA (501 nucleotides) under uncultured bacterium. Its description in RNAcentral is "partial 16S ribosomal RNA". It matches the Rfam family "Bacterial small subunit ribosomal RNA", at positions 30 to 523 of the family's 1533-position model. The record is from RNAcentral.